CACUUAGGAAUCUACCUAGUAGUGGGGGAUAGCUCGGGGGAAACUCGAAUUAAUACCGCAUACGUCCUACGGGAGAAGGGGCAACUUGUUGCUCUCGCUAUUAGAUGAGCCUAAGUCGGAUUAGCUAGUUGGUGGGGUAAAGGCCUACCAAGGCGACGAUCUGUAGCUGGUCUGAGAGGAUGAUCAGCCACACCGGGACUGAGACACGGCCCGGACUCCUACGGGAGGCAGCAGUGGGGAAUAUUGGACAAUGGGGGCAACCCUGAUCCAGCCAUGCCGCGUGUGUGAAGAAGGCCUUUU
This 300-nucleotide ribosomal RNA is filed under the name uncultured Moraxellaceae bacterium. RNAcentral describes it as "bacterial SSU rRNA". It matches the Rfam family "Bacterial small subunit ribosomal RNA", at positions 114 to 420 of the family's 1533-position model. The record is from RNAcentral. Lineage: Bacteria; Pseudomonadati; Pseudomonadota; Gammaproteobacteria; Moraxellales; Moraxellaceae.